RNAcentral lists this ribosomal RNA (470 nucleotides) under uncultured bacterium. RNAcentral describes it as "bacterial SSU rRNA". It matches the Rfam family "Bacterial small subunit ribosomal RNA", at positions 329 to 792 of the family's 1533-position model. The record is from RNAcentral.
UUCCAGACUCCUACGGGAGGCAGCAGUGGGGAAUCUUCCGCAAUGGGCGAAAGCCUGACGGAGCAACGCCGCGUGAUCGAAUGAAGGCCUUCGGGUUGUAAAGAUCUGUUGACAGGGACGAAUAAACAAUGCGAAUAGUUUUGUGUAUGACGGUACCUGAGGAAUAAGCCACGGCUAACUACGUGCCAGCAGCCGCGGUAAUACGUAGGUGGCAAGCGUUAUCCGGAUUUACUGGGUGUAAAGGGCGUGUAGGCGGGAAAGCAAGUCAGAUGUGAAAACCACGGGCUCAACCUGUGGCCUGCAUUUGAAACUGUUUUUCUUGAGUACUGGAGAGGCAGACGGAAUUCCUAGUGUAGCGGUGAAAUGCGUAGAUAUUAGGAGGAACACCAGUGGCGAAGGCGGCUUACUGGACGGUAACUGACGUUGAGGCUCGAAAGCGUGGGGAGCAAACAGGAUUAGAUACCCUCGUA